Molecule: unclassified non-coding RNA, 377 nt
Filed under: plant metagenome
Description: partial contains 5.8S ribosomal RNA, internal transcribed spacer 2, and large subunit ribosomal RNA
Rfam family: 5.8S ribosomal RNA (bases 1-104)
Source: RNAcentral
AAAUGCGAUAAGUAAUGUGAAUUGCAGAAUUCAGUGAAUCAUCGAAUCUUUGAACGCACCUUGCGCUCCUUGGUAUUCCUUGGAGCAUGCCUGUUUGAGUAUCAUGAAAUCUUCAAAGUAAAUCUUUUGUUAACUCAAUUGGUUUCUACUUUGGUAUUGGAGGUCUUUGCAGCUUCACACCUGCUCCUCUUUGUUCAUUAGCUGGAUCUCAGUGUUAUGCUUGGUUCCACUCGGCGUGAUAACUUAUCUAUCGCUGAGGACACUGUAAAAGGUGGCCAAGGUAAAUGCAGAUGAACCGCUUCUAAUAGUCCAUUGACUUGGACAAUACUUUUAUGAUCUGAUCUCAAAUCAGGUAGGACUACCCGCUGAACUUAAGC